UUAUACAGUACCCGCAUAGAGAAAUACAGUUUGGCAUACAUUUCAAACAGUAAAUUUGUUCUAUGCGGUAAGGUUAAUGUGUCACAAAUGGUUGCUUUUAUGUUCAACAACAUGACACCCAAAGCUACGUACAGUAAAUAACAGUUUGAAUGCCCCAUACCAAACUUUAACCAUAUAUUGUAGUGUGCACAUAUUGUCAAAGUAUAUGAACAUGAAAACUCGUAUUAAAUGGUUGCAAUAAGCAAUCACACUAUAUCAAACUGUUGAUUAUUAUGCUUGCGCAACACACUAACACAGCUAUAUUUCACAAUGCAGAACUCUUGCAUAACAGCAUGGUAAACAGUUCCGCAUAUUCGUAUUUGUGAACGACAUGAUCCAGAAAGCGCAUCGUCUCUUUGCAAGCUCCCAGCUUGUUUCUUAAUUUCUCGCUAAAUAAUUUACAAAGGCCUGUUAUCCCAAAGCUGUAAACUUUGAAAUAAUGUCAUAUAUAUUCCCUAUUUUCGAGUAUUGAUUAGUGUUACUUUUUAAAGUAGGUGGUUGAUUCACCAUUGAUUGACAUUGAAAUUUGUGAAUGAAAAUGACAAAAAUAUUAAUAUUUAUUUAUGCUUAUUUUUAUCGGCACCGAACUUCGAAUACCAUAUCUUAAUGUAUUUUAGCAAAAACUUGAAAAUGGCAAAAAAAAUAUUUAUUCGAAACUUGAUUAUAAAUUUCCCGAGAGUAGGACCUUUUUAUAUGUUACGCGAGAUUUGCUCCCUUUGCGACAAAAAUAAAAAUGAAAAAGAAACAUUCCGUCGCCGUCGUCGCGGGAACACCGGGAGAACUAAAUGGUUCUGGGGAUCAGAAUCUGGUCUGCGGAAUCUAUCAGCUGCAGUGAACCUGAAAAACAAAACAGCAAUCGAUUGUCCAACCAGAAGUAUAAAAAUCUUAGAGAUCGAUUCUUGGAUUGGAUCUAGAGGAUCUUCAAACGAUUACGGCAGUUUCGGUGGCCAAAUCGUGCCCAGCGAGUUCCACUGGCCUCCCAAAGGCACCUCACAAUCCGACCGCUCAUCGCACCGUCGUUCUGGCAGUGCCUAUCCUCAAAGAAUUCCACCUCAGCAUCCAACGCAAGCCGGCCAACACGUACGUUCCGGCUAAUGCAAUGUUCCGAUUCGAUGCACACCAGACGGCUUGCCAGAGGAGUAUAAAUUCGUAUCUGACGUCGGAUAUGAUCGCUGGUGCCGAUAACAACUUCAAGUGUGUCCAUUUUGAGCGCGUUAGCAUUGUAUCCUCAUAAGGAACGUAUUGGAGGCUAAGGAAGGUUCAAGAGAAGGCAAGCUUAAACAAAAACAGAAUCAGCAUCAGAGCGGAAGAGGUCUUAUUUAUUUGUGAAUGCUGUGUGAUUAUGUGAUUUUUUAAACCUGUAAGUCUGACCUAGGGGUCAUUCAAAAAUGACGUCCAUAGUUUAGGGGGGAGGGGGGGUCUGAGAAAGUGUGACACUCCAUGUAUAAGGUAUACGAAAAAGCGUGACAGAGGGGGGAGGGGGGGUCUAAAAUUCCCGAAAAAUGAUGGACGUCAUAUUUGAAUCGCCCCCUACCUUAAUUUCUUCUUUUGCUUUUAUAAAAAUGCUUUUCAAUUAACUAUGAGAGAGGGAUACCCGCAUAACAAAAUACUGUUUGUGUUAAUCUCCACACAGUAUGUCUCCUUCACAACUUACUGUUACUGUACCACGAACAGGUGUUUCUCUGUUGAAAAUAUGAAACUCAAAGCAUCCGACCAUAAAGAACGGUCUAUGAAGACCAUACCAAGUUGUAACAAUUUGUCAUAUUGUGCAGAAAUUAUCGAACAAUAUGGUACCGAAAACUCAAGAGGCAUGGUGGCAAUGCAGUGUAACCUUUUCUCAAACGGUUUGCGAUUUCAUUUGCGCAACACACUUACACAUGUGCAUUUCACUGUAUGCCACUUGAAUUCAACAGUUUGUCAAAUAGUAGCUUUUAUUAGUGUCUGUGCCGAUCGAACUUUGCAGUUUGCAUUUAGAAGAAAAAAACAAAAUCUUUCGCCCGCGAGUUGAGUGAACAACAAACUAAAAACUUGCCUCGGAAAAUGGUUUGAAGCGCUUGGAGCGGUCUGGAUGGAACAAGGGAUGCCGAAACUUCAAUUCAAUUCCAGGAGCCUGAUCCGGCCUGACUAUGUGAGGAGUCCCGCAAAAGAAAGCAGCGAAAGAUUCGCCCUGCUGGGCGCGGAAAUUUAAUGCUCCUUGUAAUUAAAAAUGCACUCUCACCGAAGUAAUCUCCAGUUGUUCGAUUAAUAGCCGUUAAUACCUAGAGCCCAUCAUAAGGGCGUUGGAUUUGUUUAAUAAAAAAAAUAUCCAAUGAACGCACAAAAGCUUUUAUUUUUUAACAGUUUAAAUGUAGCCGAACCUUAUAUUAUAAGCUUGAAAUACAAUGGAAGACCAUAAAUCAAUAGUAACCCAUACAGUAUUCGUUUUUCUUCUAGAUUUAUUGUUAAACUGUUCUAUAACCAUUUGUUAUGCAGUGAAUUGUCUGAAAAACUGGAUAAUAUAUUGACCAUAUCCUUUACUGUAUUACGAAAAAUUUGUUCGAGAAAACGAGCGAUUUUUUAUGGUAACCUAUCUUAACCGCCUAUUCCACAUACUGUUAUUUGGCCGAUAACCGUUUGUCAAACAGGCAAAUAUGUACAUGGAAUGGUUAGCUUACUGUUAUCUCCGAUAGUCUGAGAAAUGGUUAAAUGACAAUUGCUAAUGGUCAUAUACAGUAUGAGAAACGUUGCAUUUACAGUUUGUGGUUAUGCGGGUAGAACAACCACAGGAACAACAACUUCAUGUAAAUUUAUUGUAACUACCUUUUUAUUAUAAAUUGGUUCAUAUUUAUUUAUAUCAAUAAAAGUAUGUUAAUAAUUACAACCUGUAAACAGAACUAUCGUCCUGAUUUAUUAUAUUUCUUAAUUUUAAUAAAACAAAAGCAUUAGUUUUUAACGGUUUGAAUACAGAAGAACCAUAUAGCAUACGUUAAAAAUACCAUGAAAGACCAUAAAUCAAUCAUAACACAUACAUUGUUAGUUUUCCCCCAGAUUUAUUGUAAAACAGUUCUCUAACCAUUUGAUAACCAGUAAAUUAUCUGAAAAACUGGAUAGUAUAUAGACCAUAUCCUCUACUGUUUUGCGAAAAAUUUGUUCGAGAAAACGAGCGAUUUUUUAUGGUAACCUAUCUUAACCGCCUAUUCCACAUACUGUAAUUUGGCGGAUAACCAUUUGCCAUACUGGCGAAUCUGUACAUGAAAUGGUUAUCUUACUGUAAUCUAGGAUAGUCUGAGAAAUGGUUCAAGGACAAUUGCUAAUAGUCAUCUACAGUAUGAGAAACGUUGCAUUUACAGUUAGUGAUUAUGCGGGUACAUAUUUGCCAUCAUAUGUAU
Aedes albopictus (Asian tiger mosquito) is the source of this 3407-nucleotide long non-coding RNA. RefSeq lists it as uncharacterized. The transcript is spliced from 3 exons. The record is from RefSeq and is a predicted model, not a curated record. Lineage: Eukaryota; Metazoa; Arthropoda; Insecta; Diptera; Culicidae.